UACAGAGGGUGCGAGCGUUAAUCGGAAUGACUGGGCGUAAAGGGUGCGUAGGUGGUUUGUUAAGUGUGCUGUGAAAUACCCGGGCUUAACCUGGGAACGGCAGCACAUACUGAUGAGCUUGAGUAGGUGAGAGGAGUGUGGAAUUUCCGGUGUAGCGGUGAAAUGCGUAGAGAUCGGAAAGAACACCAGUGGCGAAGGCGGCACUCUGGUACCAUACUGACACUGAAGCACGAAGGCGUGGGGAGCAAACAGG
Molecule: ribosomal RNA, 253 nt
Filed under: uncultured bacterium
Lineage: Bacteria
Description: partial 16S ribosomal RNA
Rfam family: Bacterial small subunit ribosomal RNA
Source: RNAcentral